This 250-nucleotide unclassified non-coding RNA is filed under the name uncultured Pleosporales. RNAcentral describes it as "sequence contains 5.8S rRNA gene, ITS2, 28S rRNA gene". Lineage: Eukaryota; Fungi; Ascomycota; Dothideomycetes; Pleosporales. The record is from RNAcentral.
AACGCACAUUGCGCCCCUUGGUAUUCCUUGGGGCAUGCCUGUUCGAGCGUCAUCUAAACCUUCAAGCCCUGCUUGGUGUUGGGUGCCUGUCCCGCCCCCGCGCGUGGACUCACCUCAAAUCCAUUGGCGGCCCCCGCGUCGGCCACGAGCGCAGCAGAAACGCGAACUCGUGGGCCCGUCCGGGCGGCUCCCAGAAGCUACACCCACCCCUUUUGACCUCGGAUCAGGUAGGGAUACCCGCUGAACUUAA